GAUGAACGCUGGCGGCGUGCCUAAUACAUGCAAGUCGAGCGACCAGACGAGGAGCUUGCUCCUCUGCCGUUAGCGGCGGACGGGCGAGUAACACGUGGAUAACCUACCUAUAAGACUGGGAUAACUUCGGGAAACCGGAGCUAAUACCGGCUAAUAUAUUGAACCGCAUGGUUCAAUAGUGAAAGACGGUUUUGCUGUCACUUAUAGAUGGAUCCGCGUCGCAUUAGCUAGUUGGUAAGGUAACGGCUUACCAAGGCGACGAUGCGUAGCCGACCUGAGAGGAUGAUCAGCCACACUGGAACUGAGACACGGUCCAGACUCCUACGGGAGGCAGCAGUGGGGAAUAUUCGACAAUGGGCGAAAGCCUGAUGCAGCAAUGCCGCGUGGGUGAAGAAGGCCUUCGGGUUGUAAAGCCCUUUUGUUGGGAAAGAAAAGAAGCAGGUUAAUACCCCGCUGUUUUGACGGUACCAAAAGAAAAAGCACCGGCUAACUUCGUG
This 497-nucleotide ribosomal RNA is filed under the name uncultured bacterium. Its description in RNAcentral is "partial 16S ribosomal RNA". It matches the Rfam family "Bacterial small subunit ribosomal RNA", at positions 28 to 507 of the family's 1533-position model. The record is from RNAcentral.